ACUCCUACGGGAGGCAGCAGUGGGGAAUUUUGCGCAAUGGGGGAAACCCUGACGCAGCGACGCCGCGUGAAGGACGAAGGUCUUCGGAUUGUAAACUUCUUUUAUAAGGGAAGAUAAUGACGGUACCUUAUGAAUAAGCCACGGCUAACUCUGUGCCAGCAGCCGCGGUAAGACAGAGGUGGCAAGCGUUGUUCGGAAUUACUGGGCUUAAAGGGCGUGUAGGCGGCAUAGUAAGUCCGGUGUGGAAUCCCAGGGCUCAACCCUGGAACUGCAUUGGAAACUACUGUACUUGAGUCAGCGAGGGGAGGGCGGAAUUCCUGGUGUAGCAGUGAUAUGCGUAGAUAUCAGGAGGAAGGCCGGUGGCGAAGGCGGCCCUCUGGCGCUUGACUGACGCUGAGACGCGAAAGCGUGGGGAGCAAACAGGAUUAGAAACCCGAGUAGUCC
Molecule: ribosomal RNA, 444 nt
Filed under: uncultured Nitrospirota bacterium
Lineage: Bacteria; Pseudomonadati; Nitrospirota
Description: bacterial SSU rRNA
Rfam family: Bacterial small subunit ribosomal RNA
Source: RNAcentral